CUGGAGCCAAGCUACAACCCAGGCAGGCUGCUCAGAGCCUGCACGAAUGACUGGGCCACCUGUGCCUCUCCAGUGCAAACCCCCCGUUUGUCAUCAACAACAGGAGGGACUGACUGGAGGUCCGCUGCAGCUCAGAGAGUUUGUCCAUUUCUGGGCUAUUAUUGAUUAACCUGUUUAUAUUCCACCGUAUCAGAGCCUGGAUCACCUGGAAGGCAUUCCUUUCUAGACGCAGCAAUGCAGGAGAGUCGGCGACUUCAGGGACUGAGGCUGGAGGUCUGCAAAAGCAGAUCAGGAGGUACAAUCCCAAGAAGAACCUUGAGAAGGCUCAACAGGACUUUAAGAAGUCUUGGAAUCGCGCCACUGCACUCCAGCCUGGUGGCAGAACAAGACUCCAUCUCAAAAAAAAAAAAAAAAAAAAAAAAGAAGUCUUGGGCCAGGCUCCGUGGCUCAUGCGUGUAAUCCCAGCACUUUGGAAGGCUGAGGCAGGCGGAUCACCUGAGGUCAGGAGUUUGAGACCAGCCUGGCCAACAUAGUGAAACCCUGUCUCUACUAAAAAUACAGAAAUUAGUCGUGCGUGGUGGAACGCUCCUGUAGUCCCAGCUACUUGGGAGGCUGAGGCAGGAGAAUCACUUGAACCUGGGAGGCGGAGGUUGCAGUGAGCCGAGAUUGCGCCACUGCACUCCAGCCUGGGGGACAGAGCGAGACUCUGUCUCAACAACAACAACAACAACAACAAAAGUCUUGAAUCCACGCUAUGCGAGGAAGGAACGAGGGAAGGACCACAGCUCUGUCCUUAGUUCUUGGCCCCCCUCCCUUCCCAUGUCCUCCCUGGGGAGCCUCCCGAAGGGCUUGCUACACCCUGCUGGCUCCCGCACCACGUCCACUGGGACCUCCCUGCUGGUCCUGUGCAUCCGGCUGGUCAUCAGCUCAUCGUGCCUCAGGGUUACAACGUGUAUACCUGCUUGCUUCAACUUUCUCUGAAGAGCCAUAGUCUGGAUUUCAGGCAGUGAGGUCAUCCCUCGCCCAGUCACGCGAGUGUGGGAUAUGAUGAGGUUUCUCUUCAAAUAGCCCUAUCAAUCCUUUAUUCUUUAAUUCAUAUACCCUUAAACCCCUUUUUCCUUUCUCUCUUUUUUUCCUUUCUGCCUUUGUUACAUGCCCAGACACGCCACAGUACCAGGCUUAUCAGUACCAGCUCACAUUCUUUCCUUAUUUAAAAAAAAAGAUGACCGGGCGCGGUGGCUCACGACUGUAAUCCCAGCACUUUGGGAGGCCGAGGCGGGCGGAUCACGAGGUCAGGAGAUCGAGACUAUCCUGGCUAAAACGGUGAAACCCCGUCUAUACUAAAAAUACAAAAAAAUUAGCCGGGCGUGGUGGCGGGCGCCUGUAGUCCCGGCUACUCGGGAGGCUGAGGCAGGAGAAUGGCGUGAACCCGGGAGGCGGAGCUUGCAGUGAGCCGAGAUCGCGCCGCUGCUCUCCAGCCUGGGCGACAGAGCGAGACUCCGUCUCAAAAAAUAAAAAAAUAAAAAAAUAAAAAAGACUAGCUCGCUAACUCAUUACAGAUACCCUUUCCCCUUUUCCCCUCUCUCCCUUACGUGUCCACCUUAUCUAAAAAGAGUUCAAAUGUCUAGCCAACCGGGAUUAGUUCAGUUUGUGCGACCCGACCCUGGCCAAUGGGGAAAGGGUACAGGGGCAGGACUUGGCAUCAGGAAUAAAGGCUCUCGUGCGCCUUUGUUCAGGUGUGCUCUCAUGGUGACCGGCCAAGGAAAAGCACCCCUCUGCGCAAAAGUAAAAUUGCUUUGCUAAGAAUCCUUUGUUUGAGUGUUCAAUCUCCUUAAGAUUUUAAGUGUUAUUCCCAACACAAGUAAUCUAGGACACGUAUUUCUCAAGCAGAACACACAUCAGUCACCAAAGCCUGUAGGUUCUAGCUGCACAAUAUUGUCCUGACUCCUCCUUUUCUUCAUGCCCUCUGCUGUUGCCUUCGGUUAGGACCUCACUGCUUCCUGCCUGAAUUACUGACUUCAGCCUUUGUGACUUCAGUCUAUUUUCUAACUCGUCUUUCUGACUACAACCUAUUUGUUCCCUUUGCUUCUUCAAGCCAUUCUCCAUCAUUGUGCCAAUGUUCUAAACGUAAACAGUUUCUAUCAUUUUCUUGCUUAAACUCUUUCAGUGGCUUCUCCAAAUGUGUCAGCAUGAAGCUUUAACUGUGAGCUGAGCACAAAAGGACUUUCCUCACCUGAAUCCUGUUUACAUCUGUAGCCUCAUUCUUCUUCCACAACCAACAAACAUGCUUUGCCCCAGACACUCCGAGUGACGCGACUAUUUUAUGCCACUGCGCCUCUUAGCUUCCCCCUUGUCCACCCAAAGGACACAUGUCCUUCAAGCUGCACUGAAGCAUCUCCGUGUCCAGGAAGCGUCCUCUGGUGUCCUAGCUUAGUGUGGAUGUUCUUUGUCCGUGCUCCCCAUAACAUAUUGUGCCUACAUGCAGAUCUCUAAUCUCUGAUUUAUUUGUUUGCCUUCCUCUCUAGACUUUAAUUGCUGAACUGCAUGGACCCUGGUUUACUGAACUUCGUAAAUCUAAAUCUACAGUUGGAUACCGUGCGUGGCACAGAAAAGACCUUCAAUAAAUGAUUUCUGGUUUCGUUUUGGUUUUGUUUUAUUUACUGCUUACUACAACCAAGUACUGC
This 2684-nucleotide long non-coding RNA is filed under the name Homo sapiens (human). RNAcentral's name for it is "HSALNT0404855". The record is from RNAcentral. Lineage: Eukaryota; Metazoa; Chordata; Mammalia; Primates; Hominidae.